AUGGGAGAGGAAUCAAAAUCACAUGAUGUGUCUCAACUCUACAAAGGCCAUUGGAUGUACUGUUGUCAACAUUGGCACGCAGGAUUUAGUGGAAGGAAGGUUUUGGGCCAUCAUAUUUCCCCGAGAAUCAAGGAAAAGGAAGAGGAAAGUAAAAUGUUGAUACAUGAUCUGUUGCAAGUGUUUACGUCGCGCAGAAUACAUUUCUUCAGAGAAACCGUUGGUUGUGUGCAGAAUAUAUUUCUUCAGAAAAUGUGUUAUUGUGCAGAAACUACAAUGAAGUUGUCGGGGAGAAGAUCCAGUGAACAAAGCUACAUUGAGUUGGGUCAAAGUGACUCGUCCUUGAAACGGUCUAUUGUGCAUCGAAAGUCACGUUCAUCUCUGGUAAAUUUCACCGCAGCCUCCGUCGUACAUGUGCUUCGAUCUAUUUUCGUAUUCUUUUCUUGGAUGUUUGACAAAUGCUUCACAAACUAA
Molecule: ribosomal RNA, 471 nt
Filed under: Triticum aestivum (bread wheat)
Lineage: Eukaryota; Viridiplantae; Streptophyta; Magnoliopsida; Poales; Poaceae
Description: partial small subunit ribosomal RNA
Source: RNAcentral